Long non-coding RNA from Dromaius novaehollandiae (emu), 671 nucleotides. RefSeq lists it as uncharacterized. The record is from RefSeq and is a predicted model, not a curated record. The transcript is spliced from 2 exons. NCBI's taxonomy places the organism in Eukaryota, Metazoa, Chordata, Aves, Casuariiformes, Dromaiidae.
ACAGGUCUGGGCCAUUCACAGCACUCACAUCUUGCACCAGCUGGAGGCGACAGAAGAAGCUGAAAUCACAGCACCCUUCACGCUGCAGGACCAAACCCUGCUGGCAGCUGCCACAUUGUCCUGAACAACUUGUGCAAGCUUGGGGACUUACAAGUCUCUCCAAAGCCCUCUUGGAAGGGGGAGGGCAGUUGCAUCAAGAGGACAUUUUUCGCAGUAGAUCAUUGCCCUGCACUUGGACUUUUUGCUACAGCAAGUUUUGAUGGAGAAAUUGAGGUCUGGAAUACAGAAUCACAGAGCGCCUACUUCUACCUCAGAGAGCCUCAGCAGAAAGGGUAUCAUUUGCUUCAGGAUGACUAAUGGAGAGUUAUUUAUUAAAUUGUAGGCCAUGGGAGUUAAUAGGCCUGUUUUGCAUGUUGCAUAGUUGUACAGGUUCCAAGUUACACAUUCUUUUUUUCUCAUAAAAAGCAUUCAUCUUUAUUAAAGCCUUAAUGCUAAAUACGUCAGCAUCUCAGCUGCUCUCCAACAUUUUUCUAUUUAUCUUCCGUAUCGCAGUUAAUGCAACUGGUUAGGAAUGGGAAGAGGCUGACAGGGGGUGGCAUCUUUGUUGAAAUAAUAUAUUGUAAACUAGGUGCUUCACACAGAAAACUUUCAUUCUUCUUCUGAGAUCAUCU